AUACAUGCAAGUCGAAGCGGACAGAUGGGAGCUUGCUCCCUGAUGUUAGCGGCGGACGGGUGAGUAACACGUGGGUAACCUGCCUGUAAGACUGGGAUAACUCCGGGAAACCGGGGCUAAUACCGGAUGGUUGUUUGAACCGCAUGGUUCAGACAUAAAAGGUGGCUUCGGCUACCACUUACAGAUGGACCCGCGGCGCAUUAGCUAGUUGGUGAGGUAACGGCUCACCAAGGCGACGAUGCGUAGCCGACCUGAGAGGGUGAUCGGCCACACUGGGACUGAGACACGGCCCAGACUCCUACGGGAGGCAGCAGUAGGGAAUCUUCCGCAAUGGACGAAAGUCUGACGGAGCAACGCCGCGUGAGUGAUGAAGGUUUUCGGAUCGUAAAGCUCUGUUGUUAGGGAAGAACAAGUGCCGUUCAAAUAGGGCGGCACCUUGACGGUACCUAACCAGAAAGCCACGGCUAACUACGUGCCAGCAGCCGCGGUAAUACGUAGGUGGCAAGCGUUGUCCGGAAUUAUUGGGCGUAAAGGGCUCGCAGGCGGUUUCUUAAGUCUGAUGUGAAAGCCCCCGGCUCAACCGGGGAGGGUCAUUGGAAACUGGGGAACUUGAGUGCAG
RNAcentral lists this ribosomal RNA (619 nucleotides) under Bacillus amyloliquefaciens. Its description in RNAcentral is "bacterial SSU rRNA". It matches the Rfam family "Bacterial small subunit ribosomal RNA", at positions 51 to 651 of the family's 1533-position model. The record is from RNAcentral. Lineage: Bacteria; Bacillati; Bacillota; Bacilli; Caryophanales; Bacillaceae.